This 479-nucleotide ribosomal RNA is filed under the name uncultured bacterium. RNAcentral's name for it is "partial 16S ribosomal RNA". It matches the Rfam family "Bacterial small subunit ribosomal RNA", at positions 28 to 507 of the family's 1533-position model. The record is from RNAcentral.
GAUGAACGCUGGCGGCGUGCUUAACACAUGCAAGUCGAACGAAGCACCUUGAUUCGAUUCUUCGGAUGAAGAUCUUGGUGACUGAGUGGCGGACGGGUGAGUAACGCGUGGGUAACCUGCCUCAUACAGGGGGAUAACAGUUAGAAAUGACUGCUAAUACCGCAUAAGACCACAGCACCGCAUGGUGCAGGGGUAAAAACUCCGGUGGUAUGAGAUGGACCCGCGUCUGAUUAGGUAGUUGGUGGGGUAACGGCCUACCAAGCCGACGAUCAGUAGCCGACAUGAGAGGGUGACCGGCCACAUUGGGACUGAGACACGGCCCAAACUCCUACGGGAGGCAGCAGUGGGGAAUAUUGCACAAUGGGGGAAACCCUGGUGCAGCGACGCCGCGUGAGCGAUGAAGUAUUUCGGUAUGUAAAGCUCUAUCAGCAGGGAAGAAAAUGACGGUACCUGACUAAGAAGCACCGGCUAAAUACGUG